AUGUUGAAGAAAUACGCAAGUCUAAUUCAAUUAUGUCUAUUCAAUCGAAAGGAUUGUCUAUUUUUGUCAUUCUCUCUCGUUUCUAAAUUCUGCAUUGCUUCAGAGAUUAUGCAGCAGCUUUGUUGUUUUCCCUUGUAUUUUGGCUUUUUUAAAAAAGACUUUAGUAGCCCUUUCUUCUUAGGAUUCUGUUUCUCAAUUAUCACUCUUUCAUUUUAUUGUAACUAUCAUGUUGACAAAUUGUUUAAUCUUAUUAUAAAAAAAAAUGAUUUUAGAACUUCUUAG
Vicia faba (fava bean) is the source of this 282-nucleotide non-coding RNA. The record is from the annotation of a GenBank genome assembly. Lineage: Eukaryota; Viridiplantae; Streptophyta; Magnoliopsida; Fabales; Fabaceae.